RNAcentral lists this long non-coding RNA (2264 nucleotides) under Nicotiana benthamiana. RNAcentral's name for it is "long non-coding RNA (NBEN_LNC012873)". The record is from RNAcentral. Lineage: Eukaryota; Viridiplantae; Streptophyta; Magnoliopsida; Solanales; Solanaceae.
UCCAAUCGAUAAAGAUACUGAUCAAUUUAAUUCUAUUCAAGUUAUUCAAUUUUACUAAAUGUAAACUUAGGCGUGUAUGGCAGACGAGGUAAAUUGGAACUGAUUCAAAUUAACACCGCUAAUGUUGAACUAUUAAAAUGGCUAUCCCUGUUACAGUUCAGGUCUGGUUUUCCAAAAUAAACUAUAACAAUUGAGAUUAUACUAUAACAUGGCUAAAUGACAAACAUCCACCUGAUAGUCUACUGUUUCUAUCACAUACAGGAAUCCAAAUAUGCUAGCACUCAACUAACAACCACACGAACAACCUAUGUGUAAAAUUCAUCAGUCCAGUUUUCAGGAAGUUUACAUUAACUGAAAAUAAUUCUAAUUAAGCAAAUCCCUGUCCACUACAAUUCAAAACCAGCGAAACUAACAACUAGGCAGCAAUUGGUUGACUGAAACAAAAAAUAGUAGCUAUCAAUAACUAGGCAGCAAUUGGUUGACUGAAACAAAAAAUAGUAGCUAUCAAUAAUUAGGCAGCAACAGAGACUUGGAUCAUACUUCAUUUCAUUCCAAUAGCCAAAGAUGUACAAAUGUGUACCUGAAAAUUGAAUAGAUAUGAAAGAGGAGAGGUCAGUUAAGACGAUAGUGAGUAGCAGUAGUAAAUUCACAAUCCAAAAAGCCCAGAAAGUAGAAUCAAAAGUCCAUAAGCGUUUAAAUCAAACAAGGCUCAUAGAUCCGCUCAAAACCACACCAAAUUAACCACAUAGACUUGAAAAUGAACACAAAACCCCUCUGAAAUUUCCAGCAGACAGAAACUCAAACCAAACUAACUUAAAUACACCCAAAAUCACUUGAAAUCAUCUCAAAACAACUCUGAAUACUUCACCAAUCAAACAUUGAGCAUGUGACUCAAUUGGACAGCAAUCAAAAUUAACCUACAAUUCUUAAAUGAAACAGUAUAUUUUUGGAUUUUUUUGAAGAUUUUGGAUUUUCUUUUGAAAAAAACUAAGAUCUAAAGGAAUUUGAAUCUGAAAUUUGAAGGGGGGAAUUUUAGGCUGAAAAACUUGUGUGCUAAGGCAUGGGAAUGCCCUUUUAUAGGCAAAGAUGAGGGCAGCCCCCUAAUUUUCUGUUUUCACUUUCAGUCCCUAGUUUAUUUCAGUUAGUCCUUCAUUUAUUGACUUGUUACUCAAGUAAGCCUACUAACUUCCCUGAUAUUACAACUAAAUACAUAUUCUAGAAGGUUCUAGUAUUAGCCACAACAUUUUAUCCUAAUAUCAACUAUCCAAAACACCCCUGAAAACCCCCCCCAAUUACUCUUGAUUUAAUCUCAGCAUUAUCAAUCAAGUACAGCUAUAUCCAAACAAUUAACUAAGCUCUAAAAGUGAGCUUCAACUUGCAAAAAAUGGAAUCCUAAUUACCAUUAUCCAAUUUAUCAACUAAACAUCAUUAAUGACCACAAGUAAGUACCAAGCUACACUAAUCCAACUAAUAACAAAAGGGAAAAAACCUACAAUGGCAUCAAUCGACUAAAAUGAACAAUCAAUCUUAAAAUACUGGAUCAAUUAAACACAUUUAAAGUCCAAGCGAGCAACUUAAUUGACUAACUCAGGUUCCACUCGAUGGGUGAAGCAAAAGAAUUAUGAAAAGAGGACAAAAAUAAAAACACAAGGAAUCGAUUAAGCAAGAUAGGUAGGCAACAAAGCAAGAACAAAACAAAGAAAAUAAAGAAAAAGAAAAACUCACUGACAACUCUUGGAUUUACAACUCGACCAAUUCCAGUGGUAUUUGAAUGUUGUUGAUUAUGAAAUCUUCAUGAGGGAGGUUUAAUGACCAUGUAAUAUCAAUUUGGGGUUAUUUGGUGAAGCUAGGGUUUUGGCCGAUUUUUGGAUUUGAAAUUCGAGAGGCUCGGCCAUGAUUUGAGGAGUAUUAUUUACAGAUUGGUAAUGAGAAAGUGGAGGAGAUUUGGUGGUGUAAAUUUGGAGACAAGUUUGGACGGUGUCUCCGCUGUGGACGGCGGAGACAGCGACUACAAAUUCGAUUAUCGAGGGCUUACGGUAGGAUUUGAGAGGAGAUGAGGGCCGAUUCGUAAAGAGGGCAUCGUGGCGGUAUAGGGGUGUGAAUUUGAGAGUCAUCGGAGAUGUGGAGUUUUCUCCGGCAGUAGAGCCGGCGGCGUUACAGGAAAGAGGGUGUGUACGAGGAUGAUGGAGUUGCUCUAGGGUUUGCUAAGAUUUUUGGACAAUUUUAUGUAAAAUGAAACUUAAUUGUGGACCGUUGGAUUGAAA